CCUACGGGAGGCAUCAGUGAGGAAUAUUGGUCAAUGGACGAGAGUCUGAACCAGCCAUGUAGCGUGAAGGAUGACUGCCCUAUGGGUUGUAAACUUCUUUUAUAUGGGAAUAAAAUGUUCCACGUGUGGGAUUUUGUAUGUACCAUAUGAAUAAGGAUCGGCUAACUCCGUGCCAGCAGCCGCGGUAAUACGGAGGAUCCGGGCGUUAUCCGGAUUUAUUGGGUUUAAAGGGAGCGUAGGUGGAUUGUUAAGUCAGUUGUGAAAGUUUGCGGCUCAACCGUAAAAUUGCAGUUGAAACUGGCAGUCUUGAGUACAGUAGAGGUGGGCGGAAUUCGUGGUGUAGCGGUGAAAUGCUUAGAUAUCACGAAGAACUCCGAUUGCGAAGGCAGUUCACUGGACUGCAACUGACACUGAGGCUCGAAAGUGUGGGUAUCAAACAGGAUUAGAUACCCGAGUAGUC
RNAcentral lists this ribosomal RNA (460 nucleotides) under uncultured bacterium. RNAcentral describes it as "partial 16S ribosomal RNA". It matches the Rfam family "Bacterial small subunit ribosomal RNA", at positions 338 to 795 of the family's 1533-position model. The record is from RNAcentral.